CGAUGCAAUUUGUAUGAGCUGCACACAAAAGCAUCUAACCAUGAUCGCUCAAUGGCCUGAGUGUGUGUUCCGGUCACUGGAUCCACAUAAUGUCGUUGAUGGUUCACUGUCAGAUGGUGAUAACCUAUGGUAUUUAAAUUAUUAUAAGCGGGCCACUCAUCUGAAUGGAU
Octopus sinensis (East Asian common octopus) is the source of this 170-nucleotide long non-coding RNA. RefSeq lists it as uncharacterized. The record is from RefSeq and is a predicted model, not a curated record. The transcript has 4 exons. NCBI's taxonomy places the organism in Eukaryota, Metazoa, Mollusca, Cephalopoda, Octopoda, Octopodidae.